This 253-nucleotide ribosomal RNA is filed under the name uncultured bacterium. RNAcentral's name for it is "partial 16S ribosomal RNA". It matches the Rfam family "Bacterial small subunit ribosomal RNA", at positions 524 to 776 of the family's 1533-position model. The record is from RNAcentral.
UACGUAGGGGGCAAGCGUUGUCCGGAAUCAUUGGGCGUAAAGAGCGCGUAGGCGGCCCGAUAAGUCCGCUGUGAAAGUCAAGGGCUCAACCCUUGAAUGCCGGUGGAUACUGUCGGGCUAGAGUACGGAAGAGGCGAGUGGAAUUCCUGGUGUAGCGGUGAAAUGCGCAGAUAUCAGGAGGAACACCAAUUGCGAAGGCAGCUCGCUGGGACGUUACUGACGCUGAGACGCGAAAGCGUGGGGAGCAAACAGG